UUGCAGUCGGGCAAAUGGGCCUUUUAUACUAGAAGCUCAUGCACCCGCAAUAGCUCCCCAUGAGCAGGACCCUCUAGUUGAUGAAAGCCUUGCAGGCAUCCUAAGGGAAGUCCUUUGGCCUCUUGACUCUGGCAGGUAGAAGUUUGAAUUGCUGUGGGGUCAGCCUGGGGCUGCUGCCAAGAGCUCCUAUCUGUUGUGUAUUCUUGUUCUCCACCUGGCUCUCUGUGGCCUCUUGACUCUUGUCUAUUUCCUGUUCCUGCUAGCCUGAGGGAUAAGCCUCCAUGUGGCCCCUCCUUGAGCUCCAGGGAUGCCAUUUGGAGCUGAGCAAAGCGGCUGGGUUGCAGAGGAACUACAGGAAGUGCUGCCGCCCCCCCCCCCCCGUGGUGUCCCCACAGGAAGAGACUGAGGCCUUGGCUUAUGGUUGUAAUUGUGCAGUAUCUGUAUCCACUGUCACUGCCUGGGAGUCAUCUUUGAGGCUAAGGGACAGCUGUCUCUGGGGCCCGUGAGGACAAGGAGAGGCCGAGAGAUCCUUAGAGGGGAGUGAAGGUGAUGUCUUAAUCCCUGUUCUCCUGUGAUGAAAAAGACACCGUGACCAAGGUAACUCUUACAAAAGAAAGCGUCCAGUUGGGGGGCUUGCUUGUAUUUGCAAUGUUUAGUUCAUUCUCAGCAUGUCAGGAAGCAUGGUGGCAUAGAGGCAGGCAUGGUGCUGGAGAUGGAGUUGAGAGCUACAUUCUGAUCUGCAGUCAGAUAGGGAGACACUGGGCUUGGUACCGGGCUUUUUGAAACCUCAAAGUCCAUCCCCAGUGACACACUUCCUCCAACAAGGUCACACCCCCUAAUUCUUUCAAAUAGUGCCCUGCCCUGGUGACUAAACAUUCAAAUAGAUGAGUCUAGGGAGCCAUUCUUAUUCAAACCACCACAGAUAGACACUGAAGGGAAGCAAGGGCUGGGGGGUAGGUGGGAAGCACAACCCUUAAGACCUUCUGUAAUGAUUCCAGGAAAGAUCCCCAUGAGCCACAGAAUGGAGAGAGCUGGCAGGGAGAGGCAGCCCUGGAGUGUGUGAAGAAUAUGACUCUGUAGGAUGAUAUUUGCAUCCAGUAAGAUGGAGGUCCCAUGGCCCUAGAAAGUUCCUUGUUUCCAGAAAUCAAGACUGGAGGGCAGAGUCCUGGAAGCAUCUUAAAUUCUGAUGUGUCUUCUCAAACACAGAGAAGGACGAAUGGCUGUUCGCAUAGCAUGUGGUCUUGGGUACAGGAACAGAUGACUGUCCAUGGGGUCCUCCUCUGAAAUGUCUAUGCAGCGAGCCCCUCUCUGCACAUAGAUGUUAGGACGGAGGGAGGGCAAGGCCAUCUCCAGUGUUGGGAAGAAUUUUCCCAGUAAGGAACUGAGAAUAUUCGCUUCAAGGCAUAGCCUCAUUCCUGCUUUCUGCCUGGUCUCUUCCUUUGGCAUUUUAGAGCGCAAGGGCAGGUGUCAGGUGUGAGGGCAGGUGUCAGGUGUGAGGGCAGGUGUCAGGUGCUAGGGCAGGUGGCAGGUGAAAGGUCAUCAGAGAUUGAAAGUGAAGCACUAGCUUCUAUCUUCACUAGGAUAAUUACUUUCCUAUAUACUGAUGAACGGACAAUGAACAUGAGGUAUAAUUUACACAGUAGAAUACUAUCCAGCUGUUAAAGAUAUAUGAAAUCAUGAUCAUUCUCAGAUAAACGGAGGGGGCUUGAAACACUCAUUCUGGGUGAGCUAACUCGGACUCAUAAAGUCAAUUGACACAAGUUUUCUCUCAUAGCUUAGGGUAUCCAGAUCUGUGUGUUUCCUUUGGAAUACCCAUAGAGAUCAGGGAAUUAGUAAAGGGACAUGGGAAUGUGUGUGCUGCAAGGGAGGGGAGAUAGGACAAAGUGGUAUAAAGGUUAAGGGGGAAUAACGGGACAGGAAGAGUUCAAUUGAGGUGGGGAUGGGAAAGCAGGGUACGGGUGGAAAUAUGGGGAGUAAUAGAUCUCACUAAAGACAUUUAGAAAAGGCCAUAUGGAAACCUACCCAUUACUGUAAAUGCCUAUUUAAAGACAGACAGACAGACAGACAGACAGACACACACACACACACACACACACACACACGCACCCCACCGAGAGAGAGAGAGAGAGAGAGAGAGAGAGAGAGAGAGAGAGAGAGAGGGAUGAAGAAAGAGAGAGGGAGAAAGAGAGAGGGAGAAAGAGAGAGGGAGAGAGUUAGUUUUCCUAUAACAAAGUGACAAGGACCCUACUGAACACUACAGGCUAACAGAUGAAAAGGCCAGUGUCAGGAAUGGGUUACCAUGUUGACUAGUAAAGUCCCAUAGUCUCCCAAAUAUAACGGGCUAACUGCCAAAGCUAUUCACUGUGCUCCAGAACUCGAGGGUAAGACGUUAUUGCUGAAGGUGUCACAUAUUUGACUCACAGAACAUGGAGCUACCAAGCUGGUAGAUCUGGAAGCUUCAUCCCUACCCCCUUAGCCUUCACAGUGCCGGAAGCUGCUAUGCACACUGCCAGAGAAGAAAAGUAAUUAUCGAGCAUUCCCAGCCGUGAACCCUGCAAGCUCUAAUAAUUGUUUGCCCAGAAGGACAUGCCGGCUGGUACAGUAGUGGCAUGAGCGUCAUGGGAGUAACCAACUAUUGUCCGAUUAGAUUCAAGUCCUGCUCUACGAGAUGAAACCCAUAUCUGGCAACAUUGUGGGGCCAAGAACCUGUGGCCAGAUUAAUGGACCACUCAACCCUCAUCAGAGAAGCUUUUAUUGCAGUGGAUGGUGAUUUACAUAGAGAUCCACAACUGGUCAAGGCGCAGAGACGGGAAUACUCAGCCAUAAGUGGGACAUCUGUAUCAUGUCCCAUCCUCCUAAGGCUCUGGGGUCAUUAGGGAUGAAGGAUGGGGGAGAGUGUAAGGCGGUGGGUGACUACAGGGAAACAACAUGUUUCAGACACAACAAGGCAAGUGUACUUACAGAUUCAUAGUUGGUGUGACAACAUGCACAAGACCUUGGGAAACUCAAGCCAGACCAAACUCCAGCAUGGAGGGAAGUGGAAGGCAUGAAGUCCCAUCCCUAGGCAAGAAGCUACUGAACUUCUGGGAGAAGGAGAGUUGGUGUUCUUUAAGGGUGUAGACCCUGAUACAUUGACCAUUCCAGUGGAAGGCCACACAGCUAAGAGUCUACAGUUGGUGUGAGAAAUCAUUCCUGACCUCUCUUGCUUCCUACUCAUCAAGUCAGUUUCUCAGUCUGAGGAACAUACUAGAGUGUGUCAGUCAACCUUGGCUCUCUAACUCGGUUCUCUUCCUUAUUCCUCUGAGCCAAUCCUGGGCUUCUCUGCCGGUGACAGUAAGCCCUGGAGCCCGAGGCGUGCACAGGCACCGACCGUCCCUCUCCUUCUAAAGAGCUACAGCCUUCUUGGGUGGCAGUGACUGUGGCUUGGCAGGCAACCUUGUCCAUGGACACUCCUACUCUAUUUCUGAGCCAUGUGUUGGUGGCAGGUGCUGUAUGUGUCCAGCUGUUUUCUCUUGCAGUGGAAACCACAUUAGAACUGUGCCCUUAUUUACUUAAGGGCUUCAAGAGCAAGGUGUGCGGAAUCCCUCUCUAGGGACGCGAUCCCGUGUGUUCAGCAUCUGUCUUCCUGCUUGAAGAGGAAGCCCAGCCAGACUCUGAGGGGAGAGCUGGAGGAUGAGCGACAGCUUUCUAUCUGCUGAUUACUAAUCCCUUCACAGGGUAUAGAGUGCUCUUGGUGGGACAGGAUUUGGUGGGGAGUGACCUUAGUCUCAUUUGCCUGAGCACACUUGUAUUACCAGGAUGUGCCGAUAGCUGGCUCUCCAUUGCUGAGCUCAGACCAUCUCUGGACAGCUCUGUUGCACUAAGAAAAGCCUCAGCAAAGAAGAACCUGCCCAGGUGUUUAAGGCUAGCCUGCCUUUGGGACCCUAACUCUGAGUAUUCCCCAUUGCAGUCUGCUGCUGGGGGAGGACAGUUGUGGGAUCACGGGAAGUAUUCACAAGGGACUCCUCCAGACUUCAAGAAGGGAGACGCUUGGGUGGUUACUGUGUUCUGUAUGCAAGUCAGGGACUAUGCAUUAAUUCUAUUAGGACAUGCUUGUGACUGUCAAAAGCUGUGUGUGACCUCCAGAGACGGCAGGAAUGCCGGAUGGAGGUGCCAGUUCUGUGCCUCCGAACCUUGACGACACAACGAUUCAUCCCUCCGAGCUGAGGUCCUGAUGUCACUUCCCCUAAGUGAUUCCCAAGUGUCUUCAGACUUGACAGAUAAAUGCACUGGCUUCUAGGACAGGCAGGUAUCAGAGAAAAGCCCACCGGCUGCUGGAAUCCCAGCCUGUGGAGGAUUAAGGGAGAGGAUCACGAGUUCAAGGCCAGCUUGGAUACAUAUUGAAAGACUGUCUAAAACAGGUAGGCUCCUGUUUGAUGGCCUUUGGGCCAGUCCGUAGCAGACCCUUUCUUGGUUUGCUUGGGGACAGGAGAGUUGAGUUUUACUUGACCACUAAAAAUACCCAAGGGGAAGGCA
Molecule: non-coding RNA, 4515 nt
Organism: Rattus norvegicus (Norway rat)
Lineage: Eukaryota; Metazoa; Chordata; Mammalia; Rodentia; Muridae
Source: RefSeq, a predicted model, not a curated record